AGUAGAUAACCUGAACUGAUAAUCAGAUCUGACAGGAGCCUGGAAAAAUAACUUUUUUUCUUGUGAACUGUGAAGAAACCUGGAGUUCACAUCAAACAACGUCCUUAAACGCAGUCUGACGUGUCAGCCACGGAUCAGUGGCCAGCAAUCUCACCUCUGGGUCAGAAGUCUUUGGCUCAAGUCCCAGCCAAAGACUUGAGCACGAGAUGCAGGCUGAUACUUCAGAGCAACAUGGAGGAAGAGCUGUGUUACCUCAUGGGUCCUGAGCACGCGGUCAGAGCAAGCAAGCCUCUUGUGCUAAUCUAAUCUGAAGUUUUAUUAUGUCAGCGAAGAAUUUUCAUCCCUUGCUCGUUUUGGAAAUGUGACUUUCUUCUGAAACCAUUCGAGCCCAGAGGAACCACUUGUGCAAGAAGCAGUAAAGCGGAGCACGUCCAUGCUGGAUGACCGCCCUGGACUGUGGGAGGAGCAGUGACACAAUCACCUUUAUCCAGGGGUCUGUGGGAGGAGCCACAGGAGCAGUCAGCAGAGGGGCAUGUCCAGACAGCACAGCCUCCAAGAUUGACUCCAAACAUCACAUCUGACAAACCAUCUUGUACAGGCUGAACUAUCAGCUGAACCAUUUGUAGAAGCUACAGCCUUGCCUGUUCGCCUCCAGCCCAUCCCUCCGAUUACUUCAAAUCAUAGUUACAAAAGUGUCCGCACCAGAGGAAGUGCACACUGCAAAGUAUCAGAGCUACACAAUAGUUCUCUGGACACCACCAAGACCGCAAGUCAGCCCGGCUUUCCAACCUGGCUGCUCCAGAACAAGAUCAGUUUCACCAAACACAGGUUUCUUCUCGCUGCUGCCAUCAGGAAGGUACGGGUGCCUCAGGACCCACACCAUCAGGAUCAGGAACAGUUAUUACCUCUUAACCAACAGGCUCCUGAACCAAAGGGGCUAAUUCCACUCAGCGUCACUCACCCUGUCACUAAGCUAUUCCCACAACUUUACACUAACUUUCAAGGACUCUUCAUCUCAUGUUCUCGACAUUUAUUGUCAAUUUAUUUAUUUAUUUUGUUUCUACUAGUAUUAUUACUAAUCUUUCUUCUGUAUUUGCAGUUUCUUUUCAUUUGCACAUCAACUGUUUGCCCACCCCAUUGGGUGUGAUCUUUCAUUGAUUCUAUGCAUUUCUUGCAUUUACUGUGCAUGCCUACUUUACUAUUCGAUGUGAUUGAAGUGACUGAACUCGAGGUUCGGAUGAUGACUUCGGUUAAAAUGCUCAGACCAUCGGGUCCCAAGGUGAGGGGCAGGCCAUUUCAGCUUGCUGCUCCACUCUGUGCUGAGCUAAGGGUCUGUGGGUGGACUUUCUGUGGAUUUUAGUUCAGAAUGCUAUUUGCCUGCAUUUAUUGUUUGCAUGAUUUGUUUUUUUCUCUCUGCAUAUUGGGUACUUGAUGUUAUUUUCUAUGUUUCUUUUGUGUUUCUUUGUUUUGUGGAUGUCUGUUGGAAGAGAAAUCUCAAGGUGGUAUAAUAUAUACAUUCUUUGAUAAUAAAUCUACUUUAAACUUUCAUUAAAACUGUCUCCCUGCCCUUAAUUCCCCACGUAUGAUCGGAGACAUGCUGGGCCAUUCAGUAAACUAGGACCUGAUUGUAACUCAGCAAGCUAUGACUCCUAGUGUCGCAUUCAAGUGUGAAGUGAGCUUCUGUCUCCACCUACAUCCAAUAUCCAAUAUCCAAGAUGGCGGUGCGACGCAGCUUGCAGCGGCCACUCCAGAGCUGAUUAUCUGCUAUUUGUGAAGUGGGGUGCCGUACGCAAUCAUAAUCGAUUGAAAACAGAUGUGGGAGCACGGAGGAACAUUGGGAAAUCUCCAGGAAGACCUUCUUCAUUGCUGCUGCUGCUGUGAGGUCCGGGACUCUGCUGGGAUGAACAGGCAAUGCCGAUGGCUGCUGGCAGGGCCGUCUUAAUAUGCUUGGCAGAGGAUAGUGCUCGGAGAAGCUGUGCCGGAGGGGAUGGUUGUCAGCUCGGAGGUUCGACGGACUUGGAGUCCGCUGCGGUCAGGUUGCUUUUGGUGUGUGCUGCGUCUGCGAGGCUGGGUUUGACAGAGCUUUCACUGUGUGCUGCGUCUGUGAGGCUGAGUCGGGCGGCGCCGUGGAAGUCCAUAGUGGGGGUAUUCCCUUCUGCUGCUGGCAUGGGAUGACGAGUCUGUCGGGACCCUGGGGACUUGUGGAAACUGUGUGGUGAUUUCUUUUGAACUUAUAGUCCUUUAACAUCUUUGGACUAUUUUUACUGUGCCCACGGUCUGUUUUUUUUAUCAAUUAUGCUAUUGUUUGCACUGUUGUAACUAUGUGGUUUUGUGCAGGUCUUGUAGCUUUAGUUUUUGGUCUUGUUUUGUCUGGUGGAUUUGGAGCUCCUUUCUGGGGAAUGCGCUAAGAUGGUUGCGCAAUAUUAAUACGCAGCAGCCUCUCCGGACUCUGGAUUGGGGAUUGCCAAACAUUAUGUGGAUUUUCUGGUGUAGUCUGUUCUGUCAUAUGCUUCUGUGAUAUCAUUCUGGAGAAACGUUGUCUCAUUUUUUAA
Hypanus sabinus (Atlantic stingray) is the source of this 2552-nucleotide long non-coding RNA. RefSeq lists it as uncharacterized. The record is from RefSeq and is a predicted model, not a curated record. Lineage: Eukaryota; Metazoa; Chordata; Chondrichthyes; Myliobatiformes; Dasyatidae. The transcript is spliced from 5 exons.